AUAAUAAUAAUAAUAAAAAGAACAACUCAAUUACAGUGAAGAAACGUAAUUAUACCAAUUUUUGUUUUAGCUUAAUGAAAAUGACAAGCAAGGUUGUUGAGCUCUAUCUGAUACAGUUAUGAACUAGAAAAGCUGACGUACAACAUCCAACAUCGAAGGCAAAUGAAACAAAAAAUUUCAAAUUUGAACUAAAAAAGCUAGUGCUUACUUUGAACUUCCCUGAGUUUCCUUGAAUUUUGGCUCUCAACAAUCUUCAAAAUCAAUGAU
This 267-nucleotide unclassified non-coding RNA is filed under the name Hevea brasiliensis (rubber tree). Lineage: Eukaryota; Viridiplantae; Streptophyta; Magnoliopsida; Malpighiales; Euphorbiaceae. The record is from RNAcentral.